UUGGAAUCUCAAAAAUUGUGA
Caenorhabditis elegans is the source of this 21-nucleotide non-coding RNA. The record is from Ensembl. NCBI's taxonomy places the organism in Eukaryota, Metazoa, Nematoda, Chromadorea, Rhabditida, Rhabditidae.